CACUUCGCCAUUUUCCUCCGGAAGUGCGGAUCCCAGCGGCGGUCGUGUAGCUGAGCAGGCCUGGGGCUUGGUUCUAUGUCCCUGUAGCUAUGUUUCCAGUGUCCUCUGGGUGUUUCCAAGAGCAACAAGAAACGAAUAAAUCUCUGACCCUUCUCAGGUGCAGCCAGAGAGACACUAGCCCACUGAUGGACGGACAGACGUGGGCAGGGUCCGUGUCACUAAACCACCCACCACUGCCACAGCUGCCUACAACAGACACAUCAGAUGACACUCCGGGCAUAUAAAUGAUUUUCACUGAGGACUUACUGGUUUUAAUAAUAGGUCCUGGUGUAGAGAAGUCCCUCAACCUAUUGUGCAAUGAGUUUUGAGAAGCGGGUAAGCUGUAUGUUUUGUGGUUUUGUUUCAUAAAUGCAUCUACAGGAAGACCAAUAUUGACUGAAUGAAGCUUUCAUUUAAAGAGCUAAAAUAUGCUUUGUGUUUUUAUAUGUGGAUACUACUUUAAACCUAAUGACUAUUCAUUGUAUCAUAGCUUGUGAUGUAUUCUGCUCAUGGCUUUUAAGGUAAAUUGUGCCAUGAUCCACUGCCAUUCGAAUUGCUUUAACAAGUCAUUACCACACUACUGUUACAUCUUAAUUAUGCAUACAGACAGGUAGACUUAUUUUACAUAUGUGAACUAACUAGUUGUCAAAGCAAAUGCAGAUUGUAUUCUGCAAGUAAAGUCUUUUUCUCUCUGUAAUUUCUAGGGAUGUUCUUUAAGUGAAAUUCAUAUUCAAACUGAAGAUUUUAGUUACAAGAACUGAGUGCAGAUUAAAGUCUUUUGUGAUUCAAACAUAGUCAAGAGUACAACUGUGAUAUUUCAUGGAAGUUAUGCAAUAAAAUGUCUCUAACCUGUGAACAAAUCUAUCAAGCAGACGGCACAGUACUGAAUUUGAAACCAGAAAUACUGGGUUUUUAUAUAAAUGCUUCAUAGAUUUGUUUUAUGAUAAAGGGCACAUAACUCUCCUAAACCUCACACCACCUCUUGAAUAGGUAUAAUAAGUCCACAUCAAUGCUGAUGCCUUAGCUAUUAUUAAACUCUUACAGUAUGAUGUAAAGUGAAAGUACAAUGUAAGAUCAUUCCUAGGCCAACUUUGACCAGUUUUAUACAGAAACAUGUGCCAACUUUUCUGUUUGCAAGGAUAAUAUCAAAGCAAACACCAGAAAGUUAUAUCUUUGAUGCAUUUUUUCAAAAUCAUACACAUAAUACACAAACCAAAGACAAAUGAUGAAUAUUAUGUCAGAAAAUAUAAAGUCUUCUCCUUUCUUCUUUUGCCAAGAAAGUCCAAUAUUUUCACCAUUUUUAUGCACACAAUCAACUUUAUUUAAGCUGGAAGUUAAUGUCUCAUUGUUUUCAUUGUUCUAAAUAAACACCUUUUCCCUUGAGUAUUGCUCUAAAAAUUUUGAAGUUGUGUGAAAAAUUUUGUUCUGAUAUUUCACAUUUGUGCUAAUGAUAUGUGAAAAGGAAUACAGAUGGUAUUUAAUUAUGAACAGGAAAAGAUGUUAAAUAUCAUUAGUCAUUAGAAAUUUGCAAAUUAAGACCACAAUGACUAACACAUAUAUAUCAGAAUAGCUAAAAUAAAAAUAAAACAUCAAA
Long non-coding RNA from Homo sapiens (human), 1633 nucleotides. Ensembl annotates it as tektin 4 pseudogene 2. Its record names the gene TEKT4P2. The record is from Ensembl. Lineage: Eukaryota; Metazoa; Chordata; Mammalia; Primates; Hominidae.